RNAcentral lists this transfer RNA (68 nucleotides) under Marmota monax (woodchuck). Its description in RNAcentral is "tRNA.Met". The stretch from base 5 to 65 matches the Rfam family "tRNA", at positions 6 to 65 of the family's 71-position model. From Rfam's summary of the family: Transfer RNA (tRNA) molecules are approximately 80 nucleotides in length. Their secondary structure includes four short double-helical elements and three loops (D, anti-codon, and T loops). Further hydrogen bonds mediate the characteristic L-shaped molecular structure. tRNAs have two regions of fundamental functional importance: the anti-codon, which is responsible for specific mRNA codon recognition, and the 3' end, to which the tRNAs corresponding amino acid is attached (by aminoacyl-tRNA synthetases). tRNAs cope with the degeneracy of the genetic code in two manners: having more than one tRNA (with a specific anti-codon) for a particular amino acid; and 'wobble' base-pairing, i.e. permitting non-standard base-pairing at the 3rd anti-codon position. Lineage: Eukaryota; Metazoa; Chordata; Mammalia; Rodentia; Sciuridae. The record is from RNAcentral.
GGACUGUGGCUCAGUGGUAGAGCACUUGCCUCAUAUGUGCAAGGACCUGGGUUCGAUCCUCAGCACCA